AUAACCACACGACUCUUCCGAUCUGCCUUUCCGUGGUUCUGAAUAAACCUCCAUGAUGCCUUCUCUUCCAGAAGUCUGUCUCUUAUGGGAGGUGGAUAUUGAAAUGACACUUCUGGUCAUUUUUUUCCUUGAAUGAGGGGCUGAAUCCAAGCUUGAACACUCAAACUCAGGUUCCUUUGAGGGGCUGUGAUUGGAGUCUGGAAAAAGCUGGAGAACAGAGACUCGGUGUGGAAGACUCAAGUAUUCACAGCGUUCCACGGAGUGGAGUUAGAAGUCUGGUUUUGACAGCCUGAAUCACUCCAGUUUCUUUCCCCAAAGACCUGUUUUUUUCCUUUCAACCUGUGCGGCUUCCCUCCCACCCCACCCCACCCCACCCCACCCCACCCCCACCCCCAGGAAAUACACAGAAGUUUAUCAUCUAAGGAAACACACUUUGUUCCGAGGCACAGUAUUUCUGGAAAACCCCAGCAAUUGGGAGGGAUGGCUAGUUUCAGCUGAAAACAGUUCCUUAAACUUUCAGGUCCAGACAGUAUCUAGAAUUAGACAAUCAAGGUACUGCCUACAAGGAAAUCUUGCUUUGAUGAAUACAGGAGAUAAAAACAACCAAUCGGUUGCGUGAAUUGGAUUGAUUCUGAAAUAAGGUGGGACUAGAACCUCGCACACAGUAGGGCUCUUAAACCGCACUCCUUUCUUUUUGAUGUGCUUUAGGGGGCUUGGCAGUGGUUUGUUUUCUUAGGAAGAUUAAAUGUUCCAGAACAGUUCUGCCACUGCUGUGAAUUAACUAAGAGAAUAAUUUUUCAGUAAAGAGUUCAAAAGGUUAAAUUCUAGCCCAGCUUUCCCGAGAUGGCGGGUUCCUGUUAGUGACGUUCUCUUGUGCUGUCUUCUCUUCCAUUGAUCUCCUCUCCUUUCCUUCAAAUCACCUGUUUUUGUUUGAAAAGCAGCCCAGAUCUUUCAGUCCUUUAUUUAGAUGGGGUAGAAUGAAAACAAUCCAUGUCAGACAAUAGAUUGGGUGACCUGUUUAUAGAAUGUCCACCGGGUGAAGACUCUGGAGAGGAAACACAAAGGAGAGAAGGAACUCACAAUCAAUUGCUACCAUCCGAGAUGUUUGCAGUCCAGGGAAGGGGGAUAUGGCCCUGGAAGCGUAGCCCCGAUGAAGCUGUGGGUGACAUGCAGAGGAUGUGGGGCUUGACUUUGGAAAACCAGCCACCUGCCAGCUCUGUGACCCUGGGGCCGGAUGUGUAACCCAAGGAACCCUGGAGUCUGUGAAUUCCUUGGGAUUGUCUGCAAAAAAAUCUGUGUGCUCAUGGCUUUCAUCAGAUUCUCAAAGGGGCCUCAAAGGCUAAAAUUAGGGUGAUCAUACAUCUUGGUUUGCUUGGGACAGUUCCAGUUUAUACAAGUUGCCCUGGUAUAAUUGGUAGUAGUGACUCUUUUCACUCAUAAAAAAAUAUCUUGACAUGGAUGAUAAAUUACAGUUGAUGCUCAGCAUGUGUAGAUUCUGUAUUUGCAAAUUCACCUACUUGCUAAAAUUUAUUUGUAACUCCCAAAUCAAUACAUACAGUGCUUCAGCAGUCAUUUGUGGGUGCACACAGCAGCAAAAGAUUGUGUUGCCUGAUGUGUGCCUCAAACAAGAUGAUACUUUGCCUUCCUUCUCUUUCAGCUUUUGUAAUGUGUCCCUUCUGUGGUCUAUUUAAUGCCAGAUUUGCAUCUUGGCUUUUGUUGGUGAUUUCAUUUACAAUGACCCCCAAGCGUGGGGAGCUGAAGUGCUACCCUGUGUUCUAAAGCUCAUGAAGGCUGCGAUGUGCUAUAUAGAAAAAAUAACCUGUAUUAAAUAUGCUUUGUUUGGUUCUGAGUUAUAGCGCUGUUGGGUAUAGUUCAACGUUAAUAAGUCAACAAUAUAUAUUAAAUAAAAUCUAUUUGAGCAGAAUCA
Molecule: long non-coding RNA, 1927 nt
Organism: Bos indicus x Bos taurus (hybrid cattle)
Lineage: Eukaryota; Metazoa; Chordata; Mammalia; Artiodactyla; Bovidae
Source: Ensembl